AAGGAAUAAAUUUCCAAAUAGUAAAUGUUUUAUAAGGAUUUAAUUUUAACUUUAGUUAGAAGAAUUUUA
Molecule: transfer RNA, 69 nt
Filed under: Ephemera orientalis (oriental mayfly)
Lineage: Eukaryota; Metazoa; Arthropoda; Insecta; Ephemeroptera; Ephemeridae
Description: tRNA-Val
Source: RNAcentral